UACGUAGGGGGCAAGCGUUGUCCGGAUUUAUUGGGCGUAAAGAGCGUGUAGGCGGUUAGGUAGGUCCGUUGUGAAAACUCGAGGCUCAACCUCGAGACGCCGAUGGAAACCAUCUGACUAGAGUCCGGAAGAGGAGAGUGGAAUUCCUGGUGUAGCGGUGAAAUGCGCAGAUAUCAGGAAGAACACCCGUGGCUAAGGCGGCUCUCUAGUACGUGACUGACGCUGAGACGCGAAAGCGUGGGGAGCAAACGGG
RNAcentral lists this ribosomal RNA (253 nucleotides) under uncultured bacterium. RNAcentral's name for it is "partial 16S ribosomal RNA". It matches the Rfam family "Bacterial small subunit ribosomal RNA", at positions 524 to 776 of the family's 1533-position model. The record is from RNAcentral.